UUGUCUCUUAAUUGGAGAAGGGUAUGAAUGGUUUGACGUGGUAGUUUCUGUCUCAAUGGUAAUAUUAUGAAGUUUUCUUUUGAGUUAAAAGUCUCAAAUUUAGAUAAAAGACGAGAAGACCCUGUCGAGCUUAAUAAAAUUGUAAAGAGUUUUUAUAUAAUAAAUUUAACUGGGGCAGUUGAGAACCAAUAAAUAGUUCUUUGUUAUUUAAAGAUCCGGUUUUACCGAACAUAAGAAAAAGCUACCGCAGGGAUAACAGCGUUAUCCUCUCUGAGAGAACUAAUUGAAGAGGGGGUUUGCGACCUCGAUGUUGGAUUAAAGUUUCUUUUUGGUGCAGCAGCUAAAAUAGUAGGACUGUUCGUCCUUUAAAACUUUACGUGAUCUGAGUUCAGAC
Molecule: ribosomal RNA, 394 nt
Filed under: Ensis directus
Lineage: Eukaryota; Metazoa; Mollusca; Bivalvia; Adapedonta; Pharidae
Description: partial 16S ribosomal RNA
Rfam family: Bacterial large subunit ribosomal RNA
Source: RNAcentral